This 490-nucleotide ribosomal RNA is filed under the name uncultured bacterium. RNAcentral describes it as "partial 16S ribosomal RNA". It matches the Rfam family "Bacterial small subunit ribosomal RNA", at positions 30 to 507 of the family's 1533-position model. The record is from RNAcentral.
AUUGAACGCUGGCGGCAGGCCUAACACAUGCAAGUCGAACGGUAACAGGAAGAAGCUUGCUUCUUUGCUGACGAGUGGCGGACGGGUGAGUAAUGUCUGGGAAACUGCCUGAUGGAGGGGGAUAACUACUGGAAACGGUAGCUAAUACCGCAUAACGUCGCAAGACCAAAAAGGGGGACCUUCGGGCCUCUUGCCAUCGGAUGUGCCCAGAUGGGAUUAGCUAGUAGGUGGGGUAACGGCUCACCUAGGCGACGAUCCCUAGCUGGUCUGAGAGGAUGACCAGCCACACUGGAACUGAGACACGGUCCAGACUCCUACGGGAGGCAGCAGUGGGGAAUAUUGCACAAUGGGCGAAAGCCUGAUGCAGCCAUGCCGCGUGUAUGAAGAAGGCCUUCGGGUUGUAAAGUACUUUCAGCGGGGAGGAAGGGAGUAAAGUUAAUACCUGUGCUCAUUGACGUUACCCGCAGAAGAAGCACCGGCUAACUCCGUG